RNAcentral lists this long non-coding RNA (676 nucleotides) under Medicago truncatula (barrel medic). RNAcentral's name for it is "lncRNA gene17512". Lineage: Eukaryota; Viridiplantae; Streptophyta; Magnoliopsida; Fabales; Fabaceae. The record is from RNAcentral.
GUUCAUGAUGUGGCUGUGGGAGCAGUCCCAGCACUUGCCGUAACCGGCAUAUUGGUAAAUUAAAUAGUUUCUUUUCCGAAAACAAGAGUUGCACUUCGAAUUCGCCAGUUGCAAAAUGUGUCCUCUUAGUAAAAAGACGGCAUAAAGUUUGCUAAAAAAUUACCUUAUGUUGCAGAUAUUUCCUGUCAAUAUUAAAGGGCAGGCAUGAAGCAUAGCAACAUUAGUGAACUGGUUUGGUGCAUGGUUAUGUUCCUAUACUUGAAAUUUAAAUAGAAAGAUUGAGAAAACUGUUAGAAAUUUAAGAUUCAGGCUGAAUUACUUACUGAUUUAUUAUGUGCAGGUUUUCAGGAACUUUCGAGUAUUUAGACCAUUCAAAUCUGUUAUAAAAUUUGCUUAUAAUUAUUGAAAUGUGAAUUCUUUCAAUCAAUUAGAUUAAUUUAGCUUAAAGGAAUUGACUUUAGGUUGUUGUAUUCCUUGAUUCAUCAAUGUGUGAAUGCUGUCAAAGUGUCAUUGUGAAAGAUUCCACAAAUUACUAAUGGUUUAAAGACAGUUAGUAUUAUGAUUCUCUAAGGCAUUUACCAUCAUGUGCUCUACAAAGUUAACUAUUGUACCCAACAACAAACCCUUAAAUGGUCUUACUGGAAGUUUGAAGCAUUACCUUCUGGAAAUAAUUUGA